Molecule: small RNA, 286 nt
Filed under: Coleofasciculus chthonoplastes PCC 7420
Lineage: Bacteria; Bacillati; Cyanobacteriota; Cyanophyceae; Coleofasciculales; Coleofasciculaceae
Description: Microcoleus chthonoplastes PCC 7420 5' ureB small RNA
Rfam family: 5' ureB small RNA
Source: Rfam by way of RNAcentral
CGACUUCAAUUUGUUGGGGACAGAUAAAGUGAAUAUGGGCAUCAAUCCCCCCAGCGGUGAGAAUCAUCCCUUCCCCCGCUACAGCUUCCGUCCCCGGACCAAUAAUGAUAUCGACGUUAUCUUGAAUAUUGGGAUUUCCAGCUUUGCCAAUCUGGAAAAUCUUACCGUCUUUAAUCCCAAUAUCAGCUUUGACAAUUCCCCACCAAUCCAAAAUUAGGGCAUUGGUAAUCACCAGAUCCACCGCCCCAUCUGCAUUUGAUAUCGGAGAUUGUCCCAUCCCAUCCCG